This 449-nucleotide long non-coding RNA is filed under the name Heterocephalus glaber (naked mole-rat). Its description in RNAcentral is "lncRNA (ENSHGLG00100036344.1)". The record is from RNAcentral. Lineage: Eukaryota; Metazoa; Chordata; Mammalia; Rodentia; Bathyergidae.
CCUUGGCCUGAGGUGGCACUAUCCCUCAGAUGGGAGUAAAGGGGGACACCACUUCCAGCUUGGUGAUGAAGGGCUUGGGUGUGCUCUUGGAGCAGGGAGGGGCAACUUCAGUGGCCCACAGCAGCCAGGCCCACCUCUCAACAUCUCUUUGAGCUGUGAGCUCAUCAGGAGGUGAACCAAUGUGUUGUCGUCCCCAUGACAGUGCACCCAAGGCACACCAAGGAGAGAGCCUGGUCACAUCCCCAGGGACUUACAGGGAAGUGGUGGAUGGCAUGGAAAGGCAUUCUUGCAGCACAGAAUCGGAUCAGUUUUCAAAAGUCUUACACAGACAGUGGAAGGCAAAUAUGCUCUUUCUAAGACACAAUACAGCUCCGACCACCACCAGGACUGUGCUGCAGGCUGUACAUUCCCACUGCAGGAUGGCAAUGUGUGUCUCACUUAAAGCUUCC